Molecule: long non-coding RNA, 2660 nt
Organism: Acromyrmex echinatior (Panamanian leafcutter ant)
Lineage: Eukaryota; Metazoa; Arthropoda; Insecta; Hymenoptera; Formicidae
Source: RefSeq, a predicted model, not a curated record
UUUGAGUGCGUUCCACUUAAAGUCUACGACGACCACGACUACAAUCGCAGUAUUUGCCGUUCCACUAGCUUAUGGGCGCUGCGGAUGAAAUCUUUAGUGGAACGGAUUUUAUGGGUGAACAGUCUCUAUCACAUGGAUGGUAACAUUAAGGUAAUCGUACUGCGCUGUAUAAAAUAUGAAUCUGAAGACUCAUCGAGUUCUGAUGAUGAAUGGGAAUUAGUGUUACGUAAAAGGAAAAAGCGUACAUUUCGUCUGCGAAUUCCGAAUUAUGUCGAUGUUGUGGUCCGCUACAUGGAUUACGAUUUCAAAAGUCAUUUUAGAAUGUCGAAGGUGAAUUUGAAUUUCUUUUAUACAUGCUCAGGCCAUAUUUAAGACAAAUAAAGAGAUCUCUUAUGAUACCAUCACAUCAUCAAUUAAUUGCUAUUUGGAAAAUAGCAACGAUGGACUCCUCCAGAUCUGUUUGAGAUUCAAUGUUGGAAGAGACACUGCUCUUCGAGCUGUGCAAAGGGUCACUCAUGCAUUUUUCUUCGAUAUAGUACUUCAUUCUGAAGUUCAAAACAUUGAAGAAUUAAUUAACGAAGUAUUUCAACGAUCACUAUUGUGAAAUUGUAGUCUUCCAUGUGAAAAUCGAGGACCAUCAAUAAUCUCGUGCGGAAAUUGAAAAAUUAAUUUUUUUAAAGAUUUAUAUCCAGAUACAGCAAGUAUCUAAAUGGAGUAAUCUACAAGACACUUAUGUCCAAAAAUUAAAUGAUCAAAAUAAAUGUGUUCCAAGUGCUGCUAAAGCCAAACCUAAGCCAGUAUCAUGACCAUAUUUUGAAUUAAUGCUUUAGUGGAAAAUAAUAAACAAGGUAGUUCAACAGAAAAAACAUCUGUUAAAAAAAAAUAAGAAUAAAGAGGACAAACUGUAGAAUAUAUAAGAUGAGAUAUUGAUAGAAGGUAUAUGAACCAAACCAUGUUUAUGAAAUCAUACAAUCCUUACUAAAGAAAGAGGUCCCUUAUCUGUGAAAGAAGUGUAUUGGAAAUAUACAAGAAAUUGGAAGAAAAUAUUAAAAAGCGCUGGAGAAAUCUCCGUGAUUGUUACAUGAAAGGGAGAAAGAAAAUGACACAUCAAGUGGUUUCAGCAGCAUCAACUUCAGAUAAAAAAAAGAUGAUUUUCGCUUUUUUGAUCAAAUGCAACUUUUAAAUGAUUCCAUAAUUUCAGGAGAUAAUGUUUCAAAAGAAUCUGAACUGAUGAAUGAUAACCUAGACACCGACGGCUACUCCAUAAUGCAAGAACCAAGAGAACAUAAUGAGAGCAGUUUUGUAGAUAGCCAAGUUCGAAGAGGACAAUACAAAAAAAUCUACUUUGAAUCUACUUUUGGAAUAGGAAGAAGUGUCUCUCAUACAAGUAGUAUCUCUUCACAUGAAAAUUGGCGGAAAAACACAAUCAGGUGAUGCAAAAUUUAGAAGAGAUUUGAUGAAAAUUUUAAGUAAUACCAUCACCUGCUGAUGAUAUUGAAGUUUUUUAAUCCAGAUGAUGUUUUAAGAAGGUUACCCUACAAGGAUUAUAAAUUACAAAUGAAAAUCCUAAAUGAUGUGUUAGAAGCUGAAGAAAAAGCAAGUCUCUUAAAUAAUUAAUAUCCAAUUCCACCAAUUAAAUUACCAAUUAACUUUCUCGGUUUAACUUGUUCUUCAUCUUUUUCUAAUUCAUAAGGGCAUUCUACAAUGCGUUGCAAACACUCAUUGUCAGUUGAAAUGUUUGUCGUGACAAUUAAUAAAGCCAAUGUUCAUGAUGCUAGAAAUCGGUCCGAGUUCUCGGAUCGAGAAAUGUGUAGUCAAUCAAUUUUUUGAUUUUCUGUAAAAACUGGAAGCUGAUUGAUACUGAACUAUACAUUUCUCCGAGAACUCGCUAUGACGCUCAUUUUCAGUGUCAAAAUAGGUCACGUGAUUACGACAUAUCGAGCGACAAUUUUGAUCACGUGAUCCGUUUUGACAUUGAAAAUGAAUGUCGUAUCGAUACAUUUCCGUUUUAUCGAAAAGUAAUAAACAAGGGAUGUUCUUGAAAGAAUAAAAGACGAUGUAUUCAUACGAAGAGAACUACAAAAGAAACAAGAAUAAAAGCUAAACCUAAAUAUCUUGGAAGAAAUAAAAAAAGACAUGAGAAAAAUGACACUUGAUGAGCUACCAGUACAGUAUGGAAUAAAGAAAUUAUCAAAUGUUGAGGAAUAUUGCAAAGCACAAGGUUGACCAUUAAUUUUGGUGAAAAUCACUUUAUAUGAAAUUAUUAUAAAGUAUAUCACGGAAAUAACAAACGUAUAUUUAGAAAUGUAGUUAUAUGCCAGAAUAUACCAAAAGUAUGUGCUUUAUUGAAUAAUUACAAAAGGAAGGAAUAAAAAACGGAAAGGCGACUUCCAAAUGUGAAGUCUUAAAGGAUGUGGAUUAGCAAGAAAAUAUCAAACUAAUUACAUUUUUGAGACACUGGCUCAGAGAAUAUGGCAGGUAUGACACAAACAUAGUGAAUAUGGAACAAAGACUUUUUUUUAUACUUGCCAAAAUGGCCUGAAGUCAAUUUUGUGUUACUUGUUUAUAUUUAAAUUUUAUAAUAAUCUCUCUUUUUUGGAGUGAAAUUUCACUCUAAGAGAGUAAAAAUACAGCGAAAUUAUUAGCAAAAUAGAAAAAAA